RNAcentral lists this transfer RNA (84 nucleotides) under Zygophyllum potaninii. RNAcentral describes it as "tRNA-His". The stretch from base 1 to 74 matches the Rfam family "tRNA". From Rfam's summary of the family: Transfer RNA (tRNA) molecules are approximately 80 nucleotides in length. Their secondary structure includes four short double-helical elements and three loops (D, anti-codon, and T loops). Further hydrogen bonds mediate the characteristic L-shaped molecular structure. tRNAs have two regions of fundamental functional importance: the anti-codon, which is responsible for specific mRNA codon recognition, and the 3' end, to which the tRNAs corresponding amino acid is attached (by aminoacyl-tRNA synthetases). tRNAs cope with the degeneracy of the genetic code in two manners: having more than one tRNA (with a specific anti-codon) for a particular amino acid; and 'wobble' base-pairing, i.e. permitting non-standard base-pairing at the 3rd anti-codon position. Lineage: Eukaryota; Viridiplantae; Streptophyta; Magnoliopsida; Zygophyllales; Zygophyllaceae. The record is from RNAcentral.
GCGGAUGUAGCCAAGUGGAUUAAGGCAGUGGAUUGUGAAUCCACCAUUCGCGGGUUCAAUUCCCGUCGUUCGCCCAUUUUUGCU